AUGGCGCAGGGGCAGGAGUCGUCGACGCAGGCCGCCGCAGCGCCAGCGCUGUGCUCGAACGGCUGCGGGUUCUACGGCAGCGCGGCGACCAAGAACAUGUGCUCCAAGUGCUACCUGGAGCACCUCAAGGCCACCGACACGGCCGCCCCCGCCGCCGAGGGGAAGACGAAGAUCAAGGCGGACGUGGCCAGCCUCGCCUUCAACCUCAAGACGUCGCUGAGCCUGCAGGACUCCGCCGCCGCCGUCGCCGAGGCACCGGCGGCCGAGGCGCCGGCGAAGAAGGCGGCGACGACCAGGUGCAUGGCGUGCAAGAAGAAGGUCAGGCUGCUGGGGUUCGCGUGCCGCUGCGGCGGCACCUUCUGCUCGCUGCACCGCUACGUGGACGGGCACGCGUGCGACUUCGACUACAAGAAGGUCGACCGCGAGAAGAUCGCCCAGCAGAACCCUCUGAUCACGCCGUCCAAGAUCGACAAGAUUUGA
Molecule: ribosomal RNA, 480 nt
Filed under: Triticum aestivum (bread wheat)
Lineage: Eukaryota; Viridiplantae; Streptophyta; Magnoliopsida; Poales; Poaceae
Description: partial small subunit ribosomal RNA
Source: RNAcentral